UAUUAUUACUAUUUUCCUAUUUUCUUUCUUCCUUUUUACUCCAAUUUUCACUUCUUUGGUGUUCAACUUCUCCAAAUCUUUUAUGUCUGCAACCAGAUCUUCAAAAUCAGAUACAUCAAUGGCGGGUUCACCCAUCAAAAACCCUUAAGUUUUCUUCUCAGCACUUAUCAGUUCCAAUAUGGGUUCGAAUGAAGCAAGUUCGGUGAUUAGUAUAACAAAAUUAGUGUACAUCGCUUAUUAUCACAAGAACAAUUUGGGAUGUCAAACCUGUUAGAUACCUCUAUUAAGAAAAGAUUGUCGGGCCAUGGAUCUCCUCUAGUUUUGCCCAUGCAUAUAUACUUGUAAAACCCUGAUCAAUCCCUUAUCACAGGGUAUGUAAUUGGUGAGUUUCAUAAGGUGAAUGAAUGGAAUGGUUAGUCUCUCCUUUGUGUUUAAUUGUUUCUUUCUUUUUAGUUCUACUGAGAUUACAGUGUCAAGAUUGAAUGGUUGCCUUAUUUGGUUUAGUUCUGUUGUUUGUUGAUUAAAAACCACAAUAGUUUGUUGAAGAUUUAUGUAGGCAGAAUGUUCUUCGGUGUUUCAUUCAUCCUAUGCUAGAACCGUGACCCUUCUCACACGCCUUUUGAUGGUUGGGCAUUGAUCCUAGUGUUAAUUCAUCCGGUUGUGCAUUGACCCUUCACCCUGGGUUGCACAUCGACCCUUCUCCCUGGUUGUGGUUGCACAUCUACCCUUCUCCCCCCUUUGCUCGUCGACCCUUCUCUCCCGGUUGCCCAUUGACCCUUUAUAUUCCUAUGAUGGAAACACAUCGACCCUUCUCACCCACCUAUGAUUGUGGGUAUAAUGCUCCUUCUCAGUCUCACCCCCUUUGACGGUUGGACAUCGACCCUUCUCAGUUCUCACUCGUCUUUAUCUUGUGACAUAGCAAGUGAUUAGUUGCUGGCAUGUGCGGUUUUUUGUCAUUGUGUUUAUCGGUGAUGUUUCAAUGUUACGUUGGAUAUCUGUAGACCUUUUAUUGAGCCCUCUUCAACCCUAUGAAUGAUAGAUGUGGCCAGAAUCUUUUGAGCAAUGUGCGAAUCAGGUAUAAUACAGCUUCACCCUUUUACUUAGCUAUGAACUAUCAAAAUUCUAUAUCUGGUUUUAUAUAUGAAGAGUUUGUUAGUACAUAAGUUUGAAUAAGCAACAAACUGACAUGUUCAAAUGAUCUGCUAACAAAUAAGUUUGUUAUACCAUCUUUUUUUUCCUCUCCACUUGAACUUAAUGAGUGUAACAAGGUUAGUCGGAUUGGCAUUUUCAGAUUACACAUCGAAAUUGAUAAUCCUAACACAUUGCAUAUAUCUUUCCUAACAAUAACUUCAACGAGUGCAUGCACCCUCGCGAUACAAGUCAUGCAACACGUUAGCCGUUCUCCUCCACACCCCAUUUUUAGGCGCACUUUUACCUUGCGAGACUGUGAAGCCGCAAACGAGUCUUUGAUGAAAGAUUAUUUUGAUCCCACACCGGAUCAUGGGCCCGAUAAGCAAAGAAUGGAUGCAAGAGGGUAUCUGGGGUUCACCUCAAUUCAAAAGGUAACUUCUGCUUUACGUAUACUCGCCUACGGAAACACGUACGAUAUCAACGACGAGUAUUUGAAUUUGGGGGAGAAAACAACACAAGAUAGCGUGGAACAAUUCUGCUUUGGUAUAUACAAGUUAUAUGGAAAACAUUACUUAAAAAAUCAUACUUGGAACGACCUUCAACAAAUAUACGAGAUCCAUUUAGAAAAGCAUGGAAUACCCGGCAUGAUUGGUAGAUGGGACUGUCGUCAAUGGCGUUGGUAUAAUUGUCCAACUGCAUGGCGAUGUCAAUAUACACGCGGUGACCAGAAAGGACCAGCUUUGGUUUUACAAGCGGUUGCGUCAUACGACCUUCGGGUUUGUCGGCUUUCUUUGGUCUAGCCGGGUGUAUGAAUGAUAUUAAUACAUUCGAGUGUUCACCGUUGUUAAAGGGCUACACUUCUAGCACGAUACCGAAAGCUGGUUUCCAUGCAAACGGGAAUGACUACGAGCAUGGAUACUAUUUGGGUGAUGGUAUAAACCGGGGUAUUCGAACAAUGUGAAAACGUUUUCUGAAACGCUCGAUGUGGAAAGACAAUAUUUUAAAAGACUACACAAGAGUCUUCGCGAAAGGACAUUAAGAGGUGUUUCGGGGUUCUUCAACAACGAUGACAAUUUAUUAGAAAUCCUUAUCGUAUGUGGGAUAAGGAUAGAAUUCGAAUGGUCAUGUAUGCUUGCAUAAUAUGAUUAUAGAAGACGAUGGAAAAGCAAUAUGGCACAACUAUUUUCCAGAAGAUGUUGAAGGAACGCAAGCAACAAUGGAAUAAAGAAUCUUAAAUGCUCAACUAUUGCGAUCUAAGGAAAUACAUAACGCGUUAAAGGCAGAUUUGGAUGAUGAAAACUACGAGGAAGAAAAAGUAGAAGAAUUCGAAGCUGGGAACUUUGCAGACGGAGGUUUGGAUGAUGAAAAAAACAAAGAGGAAGGAGAGAACGACGAUGACGACGAAGAUUAAAUGUAUUGUUUUUUUAAUUGUAAUCUUUUUUUUUUUAAAUUUGAUAAAAGU
RNA transcript from Helianthus annuus (common sunflower), 2593 nucleotides. RefSeq lists it as uncharacterized. Lineage: Eukaryota; Viridiplantae; Streptophyta; Magnoliopsida; Asterales; Asteraceae. The record is from RefSeq and is a predicted model, not a curated record. The transcript has 3 exons.